GUAAUGGAACAGUCCACCGGGUUCCAGGCGCCGGGGCUCCGGCGUUUAACCCCUUUCCUGCCGAUCCCAAAGAAUCUGCCUGGCGGAGGCGCGGUGGGAUCCUGCCUCGGGGCCUGCUGCGCUGGAGCACCGCGGGCAGGUAGGGGUAGUCGGUCUGCAGCGAGGCAGCGACCACCCACCCGCAAAACGGCAUAAAUAUCAUAAAUCUGAUAAAGUCAUCCAACAUGUCUUCUUCGUAGUGUUGUGGAAACGUGUGACAAUGUUUAAAUAGUGAUUGGUUAAACUAGGGGUGUGUGUGUGUUGCUGCCUUUUUGUUUGUUUGUUUGUUUGUUUGUUUGUUUGUUGGUUGGUUUGUUGGUUUUAUGAUUCCCAGUGGAGAAUUUUGUAGAUCCAGUAUGGACGGCACCUAGCUGUCCGCCGGGCGAGCAAUCUCCUCGUCCCUGCAGACGGAGCAUUGUCCUCGCUCAGCCGGAGCGGCUGCUUUCCCCAGGUGGGCUCAGUCAUGUACGGAAAAUCACGCUAUGAAAAGCAAGUGUCCAUAAAGGAGUCGGAGGAGUCCAGCAGCUUUACUCACGUAAUGGGAGAGAGUGCACUGAGGCACACGCCCACGGGGUUUUCUCUCUCGAGGUUUUGGAGGAUGCAGCCUCCUCUUACCCCUUUAUCCUAAACUCCCGACCGCACGUUGCCCUAUUCCUUUCCCCGCUGGCAACGCUACGAAGAAAGUACAGCCUUUCCGAACCGCCCAACACAUAUCCCCACUUGAACCUGUCAUUUUGUCCCAAAGUUGAGGAGUUGAGGCUUGUGCAGACCCUUGCCUUUUUCAGGAGUCAGGCCGUCUGGGCUCUGUAACAAACUUGCGGCUUGAAGUCAGUGGAGAUAUUAAGACCCAUUUCAAAGACGUUAACACCCAUUCCUUCACCCGUAGAAUUGUUUGUAAAGACAUUAGCACACAUCCUUCCCACCAGUCACCUCUCAGAAACUCUUCGGCAAUAUCUGGAGACAUGGUGUCCUGACACUGAGAGCUGGGGUCCCAACCUGCUUUUCCCCACUUAAUCACUUAAAUGUCUAAGCAAGGAACAUGUGGAAUGAGUUUUGGAAGUGAAACUUCUGCAAGUUGCACGAGUGUAGAAGAGCAUUUUCUAGAAGCCUCCCAAGUGAUAUGAAUGGAUCUACAAAUUUGAAUUCCUUGUCUGAUUAAGCCAAGCAAGAAUGAAGUCAGCUGCAAGAAAAAGGCACAGGGUAAAUGAACAUAGUUUUUAUCUGAAUUAUUGUCCUAUAUUAAUGAAAGUACAGAUUUGCACCAUUAUUUUAAAAACAGAAGACCUGCAUAUGUAGCUUCCAGUUGGAAUACAAGUUUGCAACAAAGGAAAAACAAAUUCCAUCUCUCUAAUGAGACACUGAUGAUAAUAAUUUUUAAUAAGUCAUUGCAUUCUGGAGCUAAUGGGAUUUGUACCUAUAGGAAUGUAUUUCAUGUUGUUCCACAGCAACAUAAGGAAGGUAAAGCUUAAACUCUUUUUAAGAAGACUGAUUUUUCAUUUAAAACCCUUCAGAUUGUACCUCUUGUGAAAUGACUUAUUUCUAAUGAAUCUGCAUUAGGCAUUACUUCAGAGCAUGACUUGUAGAUUUGAGCCCUAGACACUGUAAUGGCUGUCUUGAGCCUUGUCUUGACUCUGGGAUUACUUUUAAAUUACUAAACUAUGUUAAAUGAAAUUUAAAGUAUGGAGCUACAGUUAAGAAGCAUUUUUUGCCAUUUACACAGUGUGCAUUAGUCAAUAGUAAAUUUUAUUGCC
Molecule: long non-coding RNA, 1790 nt
Organism: Poecile atricapillus (Black-capped chickadee)
Lineage: Eukaryota; Metazoa; Chordata; Aves; Passeriformes; Paridae
Exons: 3
Source: RefSeq, a predicted model, not a curated record